This 549-nucleotide ribosomal RNA is filed under the name uncultured Glomus. Its description in RNAcentral is "SSU rRNA". It matches the Rfam family "Eukaryotic small subunit ribosomal RNA", at positions 548 to 1098 of the family's 1831-position model. The record is from RNAcentral. Lineage: Eukaryota; Fungi; Glomeromycota; Glomeromycetes; Glomerales; Glomeraceae.
UUGGAGGGCAAGUCUGGUGCCAGCAGCCGCGGUAAUUCCAGCUCCAAUAGCGUAUAUUAAAGUUGUUGCAGUUAAAAAGCUCGUAGUUGAACUUCGGAAUCAAUGGAUUGGUCAUGCCGUUGGUAUGUACUGGUCAUAUUGGUUCUCACCUUCUAAGGAACCAUAAUGUCAUUCAUUUGAUGUUUUGGGGAAUUAGGACUGUUACCUUGAAAAAAUUAGAGUGUUUAAAGCAGGCUAACGCUUGAAUACAUUAGCAUGGAAUAAUGAAAUAGGACAUCGCAUUCUAUUUUGUUGGUUUCUAGGAUCGAUGUAAUGAUUAAUAGGGAUAGUUGGGGGCAUUAGUAUUCAACUGUCAGAGGUGAAAUUCUUGGAUUUAUUGAAGACUAACUACUGCGAAAGCAUUUGCCAAGGAUGUUUUCAUUAAUCAAGAACGAAAGUUAGGGGAUCGAAGACGAUCAGAUACCGUCGUAGUCUUAACCAUAAACUAUGCCGACUAGGGAUCGGAUGAUGUUGAUUUUUUAAUGACUCAUUCGGCGCCUUACGGGAAAC